AACGAGCGCAACCCUCGACCUUAGUUGCCAGCAUUCAGUUGGGCACUCUAAGGUGACUGCCGGCUAAAAGUCGGAGGAAGGUGGGGAGUGACGUCAAAUCAUCAUGCCCCUUACUGACCUGGGCUACACACGUGCUACAAUGGGCGGUACAAAGGGUCGCGAACCCGCGAGGGGGAGCCAAUCCCAAAAAGCCGCUCUCAGUUCGGAUUGCAGGCUGCAACUCGCCUGCAUGAAGCCGGAAUCGCUAGUAAUCGCGGAUCAGCAUGCCGCGGUGAAUACGUUCCCGGGCCUU
Molecule: ribosomal RNA, 292 nt
Filed under: uncultured Anoxybacillus sp.
Lineage: Bacteria; Bacillati; Bacillota; Bacilli; Caryophanales; Anoxybacillaceae
Description: partial 16S ribosomal RNA
Rfam family: Bacterial small subunit ribosomal RNA
Source: RNAcentral